AUUGAACGCUGGCGGCAGGCUUAACACAUGCAAGUCGAACGAGUGGCGGACGGGUGAGUAAUGUAUGGGGAUCUGCCUGAUGGAGGGGGAUAACUACUGGAAACGGUAGCUAAUACCGCAUACCAUCAGAUGAACCCAUAUGGGAUUAGCUUGUAGGUGAGGUAACGGCUCACCUAGGCGACGAUCCCUAGCUGGUCUGAGAGGAUGAUCAGCCACAUUGGGACUGAGACAAGGCCAAGACUUCUACUGGAGGCAGCAGGGGGGAAUAUUGACAAAUGGGCGUAAGUCUGAUGCAGCCAUGCCGCUGGUAUGAAGAAGGCUUUCGGGUUGUAAAGUAAUUUCAGUGAGGAGGCGUUACCGACAGAAGAAGCACCGGCUAACUCCGUGCCAGCAGCCGCGGUAAUUC
This 406-nucleotide ribosomal RNA is filed under the name uncultured bacterium. RNAcentral describes it as "partial 16S ribosomal RNA". It matches the Rfam family "Bacterial small subunit ribosomal RNA", at positions 30 to 526 of the family's 1533-position model. The record is from RNAcentral.